UGACAUGAACACAGGUGUUCAGAUAGCUU
Molecule: non-coding RNA, 29 nt
Filed under: Mus musculus (house mouse)
Lineage: Eukaryota; Metazoa; Chordata; Mammalia; Rodentia; Muridae
Source: RNAcentral